AGCUCCAAUAGCGUAUAUUAAAGUUGUUGCAGUUAAAAAGCUCGUAGUUGGAUUUCUGGCCGGGGCGACCGGUCGGCGCCCUAGCGGCGUGUGCACUGUCGUCGGCCCUGGCCAUCUGCGUUAGGACGGCCGCUGGCAUUAAGUUGUCGGCGGUCUGACUGGCGCCGUUUACUGUGAAAAAAUUAGAGUGUUUAAAGCAGGCGAUCGCUGUGAAUACAUUAGCAUGGAAUAAUGAGAUAGGACUUUGGUACUAUUUUGUUGGUUUGCGCACCAAGGUAAUGAUUAAUAGGGAUAGUUGGGGGUAUUCAUAUUCAAUUGUCAGAGGUGAAAUUCUUGGAUUUAUGGAAGAUGAACUUAUGCGAAAGCAUUUACCAAGGAUGUUUUCA
RNAcentral lists this ribosomal RNA (386 nucleotides) under uncultured eukaryote. Its description in RNAcentral is "SSU rRNA". It matches the Rfam family "Eukaryotic small subunit ribosomal RNA", at positions 587 to 972 of the family's 1831-position model. The record is from RNAcentral.